GUGAUUGGACACGGUAAUGGUUGUUUGACUUAAUGUCAUUACAGCCUUAGCCAGUCACAUAGAGUAAAAUAGGUGGUGUAUGCCGACAGCAUCCAACAAAGAUAGUGGGUGUUGUGCAAAUGCUCCAUACAUU
This is a non-coding RNA of Protopterus annectens (West African lungfish), 133 nucleotides long. The record is from RefSeq and is a predicted model, not a curated record. Lineage: Eukaryota; Metazoa; Chordata; Ceratodontiformes; Protopteridae.